UCACACGAAUAAAGAUUUAUUGCAUAUAUAUGCAUAUUUGUUUGUACUAUCAGUACUAUUUUUCUUUAAUACAUUGUUAAAACUUGACUCACCGUGUUUACGAACUCUCAGGCAUCUGCUGCGGGCGUCCUCCCGUCACUAUGGCGACGACGCACGCGAGAUAGAAAACAAUCAGCUCUAAAAAGCGCCACAAUAGCGGAGCACGGUUAUCAGGAGGAAACGUCCCCAAAAGAAACUAUGAGGCAGCUCAAGGUGAUCUCCUGUUCUGCAAAACAGAAUCGUCCCUAAAUUGUUGCUUAUUCCAACCACUGCCCCAAUGCAAAUCCUCACUCGUCUUCAGGAAGGCUGGCAGAAGCCGCACAUCCAGCCUUUUGGGAACCUGUCCACACACCCAGGCUGUUCUUCCCUGCAUUGCGCUGCACAGUGUGAUCUACACUCUACGCAGCAGAAAUAGCUCUUGUCUACAGACUGCCAAAGGAGCUUGCAGAUAUUCUGGUGCAGAACAGGAGUUGUCACAUGCUCAUUGACACACAUCAUGAAGUGUAUAAAAGCCCUAAAUCAGAUAAUCUUCACUUCCAGUGAGCUGUUAACUCAAGAACCGCUGUGACUGGAUCAUUCAAUCAGUGAGUUGAACUCACAUCGAGUCAUUUCGUUCCAUAUGUUAACCUGAUGAUUCUGUUUAUUAUAUACUGACUCAAAAGAAUGAUU
This is a long non-coding RNA of Cyprinus carpio (common carp), 708 nucleotides long. NCBI's taxonomy places the organism in Eukaryota, Metazoa, Chordata, Actinopteri, Cypriniformes, Cyprinidae. The record is from Ensembl.